AACGAACGCUGGCGGCGUGCCUAACACAUGCAAGUCGAGCGAGAACGUCUCCUUCGGGAGAUUAGUAAAGCGGCGCACGGGUGAGUAACACGUAGGUAACCUACCUUGGUGUCUGGGAUAACCUGUCGAAAGAUGGGCUAAUACCGGAUAAGCUCACGGGAGUUGCGGCUCCUGUGGGAAAAGAUGGCCUCUUCUUGAAAGCUAUCGCUCCGAGAUGGGCCUGCGGGCCAUUAGCUUGUUGGUGAGGUAACGGCUCACCAAGGCUCAGAUGGCUAGCUGGUCUGAGAGGAUGAUCAGCCACACUGGGACUGAGACACGGCCCAUACUCCUACGGGAGGCAGCAGUAGGGAAUUUUGCGCAAUGGGCGAAAGCCUGACGCAGCAACACCGCGUGAGCGAUGAAGCCUUUUGGGGUGUAAAGCUCUGUCAGUAGGGACGAAAAAGUGACGGUACCUACAGAGGAAGCAUCGGCUAACUACGUG
This 481-nucleotide ribosomal RNA is filed under the name uncultured bacterium. RNAcentral's name for it is "bacterial SSU rRNA". It matches the Rfam family "Bacterial small subunit ribosomal RNA", at positions 29 to 507 of the family's 1533-position model. The record is from RNAcentral.